RNAcentral lists this ribosomal RNA (496 nucleotides) under uncultured bacterium. RNAcentral describes it as "partial 16S ribosomal RNA". It matches the Rfam family "Bacterial small subunit ribosomal RNA", at positions 28 to 507 of the family's 1533-position model. The record is from RNAcentral.
GAUGAACGCUGCGGCGUGCCUAAUACAUGCAAGUCGAGCGAACGGACGAGAAGCUUGCUUCUCUGAUGUUAGCGGCGGACGGGUGAGUAACACGUGGAUAACCUACCUAUAAGACUGGGAUAACUUCGGGAAACCGGAGCUAAUACCGGAUGAUAUUUUGAACCGCAUGGUUCAAAAGUGAAAGACGGUCUUGCUGUCACUUAUAGAUGGAUCCGCGCUGCAUUAGCUAGUUGGUAAGGUAACGGCUUACCAAGGCAACGAUGCAUAGCCGACCUGAGAGGGUGAUCGGCCACACUGGAACUGAGACACGGUCCAGACUCCUACGGGAGGCAGCAGUAGGGAAUCUUCCGCAAUGGGCGAAAGCCUGACGGAGCAACGCCGCGUGAGUGAUGAAGGUCUUCGGAUCGUAAAACUCUGUUAUUAGGGAAGAACAUAUGUGUAAGUAACUGUGCACAUCUUGACGGUACCUAAUCAGAAAGCCACGGCUAACUACGUG